GGAAUCUUCCACAAUGGACGAAAGUCUGAUGGAGCAACGCCGCGUGAGUGAAGAAGGGUUUCGGCUCGUAAAACUCUGUUGUUAAAGAAGAACAUAUCUGAGAGUAACUGUUCAGGUAUUGACGGUAUUUAACCAGAAAGCCACAGCUAACUACGUGCCAG
This 161-nucleotide ribosomal RNA is filed under the name uncultured bacterium. Its description in RNAcentral is "partial 16S ribosomal RNA". It matches the Rfam family "Bacterial small subunit ribosomal RNA", at positions 358 to 511 of the family's 1533-position model. The record is from RNAcentral.